UCUCCGUUGGUGAACCAGCGGAGGGAUCAUUACAGAGUUGUAAAACUCCCAAACCCAUGUGAACAUACCUGUUGCCUCGGUGGCCUACCCGGUAGCUACCCUGUAGCUACCCUGUAGUCCGCCGACGGAACUUAAAACUCUUGUUUUCAAUUGUCAUUUCUGAGUUUACUGUACUGUAAUAAGUCAAAACUUUCAACAACGGAUCUCUUGGUUCUG
RNAcentral lists this unclassified non-coding RNA (216 nucleotides) under root metagenome. RNAcentral's name for it is "partial contains small subunit ribosomal RNA, internal transcribed spacer 1, and 5.8S ribosomal RNA". The record is from RNAcentral.